UACGAAGGGGGCUAGCGUUGUUCGGAAUCACUGGGCGUAAAGCGCAUGCAGGCGGCUCGUUAAGUCGGGGGUGAAAGCCCGAGGCUCAACCUCGGAACUGCCUUCGAUACUGGCGAUCUUGAGUCCGGGAGAGGUGAGUGGAACUCCGAGUGUAGAGGUGAAAUUCGUAGAUAUUCGGAAGAACACCAGUGGCGAAGGCGGCUCACUGGCCCGGUACUGACGCUGAGAUGCGAAAGCGUGGGGAGCAAACAGG
This 253-nucleotide ribosomal RNA is filed under the name uncultured bacterium. Its description in RNAcentral is "partial 16S ribosomal RNA". It matches the Rfam family "Bacterial small subunit ribosomal RNA", at positions 524 to 776 of the family's 1533-position model. The record is from RNAcentral.